UUUAACUGAAGAGUUUGAUCAUGGCUCAGAUUGAACGCUGGCGGCAGGCUUAACACAUGCAAGUCGAGCGGGGAAGGUUGCUUCGGUAACUGACC
RNAcentral lists this ribosomal RNA (95 nucleotides) under Acinetobacter sp. Ag2. Its description in RNAcentral is "partial 16S ribosomal RNA". It matches the Rfam family "Bacterial small subunit ribosomal RNA", at positions 1 to 92 of the family's 1533-position model. Lineage: Bacteria; Pseudomonadati; Pseudomonadota; Gammaproteobacteria; Moraxellales; Moraxellaceae. The record is from RNAcentral.